Molecule: ribosomal RNA, 755 nt
Filed under: uncultured Chloroflexota bacterium
Lineage: Bacteria; Bacillati; Chloroflexota
Description: bacterial SSU rRNA
Rfam family: Bacterial small subunit ribosomal RNA
Source: RNAcentral
GGCGUAAAGCGCGUGCAGGUGGUUUCGUAAGUUGGACGUGAAAUCUCUCGGCUUAACUGGGAGUCGCCGUUCAAUACUGCGGAACUGGAGGGCAGGAGAGGGAGGUGGAAUUCCCGGUGUAGUGGUGAAAUGCGUAGAUAUCGGGAGGAACACCAGUGGCGAAGGCGGCCUCCUGGCCUGCUCCUGACGCUGAGACGCGAAAGCUAGGGGAGCGAACGGGAUUAGAAACCCCGGUAGUCCUAGCCGUAAACGAUGGAUGCUGGGUGUCGGUGGUAUUGACCCCAUCGGUGCCGAAGCCAACGCGUUAAGCAUCCCGCCUGGGGACUACGGCCGCAAGGUUAAAACUCAAAGGAAUUGACGGGGCCCCGCACAAGCAGCGGAGCGUGUGGUUUAAUUCGAUGCUACGCGAAGAACCUUACCCGGGUUUGACAUGCAGGUAGUAGUGAAGCGAAAGCGGAACGACCCUUCGGGGAGCCUGCACAGGUGCUGCAUGGCUGUCGUCAGCUCGUGCCGUGAGGUGUUAGGUUAAGUCCUGUAACGAGCGCAACCCCUGUCGUCAGUUACAUGUGUCUGACGAGACUGCCGGUCAUAAACCGGAGGAAGGUCGGGAUGAUGUCAAGUCAGCAUGGCCUUUAUAUCCGGGGCUACACACACGCUACAAUGGCCGGUACAAUGGGUCGCCAAGCCGUGAGGCGGAGCCAAUCCUGAAAAGCCGGUCUCAGUUCGGAUUGCAGGCUGCAACCCGCCUGCAUGAA